RNAcentral lists this long non-coding RNA (597 nucleotides) under Sorghum bicolor (sorghum). RNAcentral's name for it is "long non-coding RNA (SBIC_LNC005639)". The record is from RNAcentral. Lineage: Eukaryota; Viridiplantae; Streptophyta; Magnoliopsida; Poales; Poaceae.
GUAUUGUGUAAGGUGGUGGCUUAAUGUCUGCACCUACUAGCUGCUCAUGCGUGCGCAUUAUGCCAAGCGAGCAGUUUGAGCACUAACGGGGCCACAAACCUGCAGGCCUGCCCAUCUAUAUAUGCAAACCCAGCUCAUUCGAACAAUUCCACCAAUCGCAAUGAACAUUCAUGCUGAUAUAUACUGGAUUGUCUGAAACCACACGCGCGCUUGUCGACUGAGCUGACUAUAGACACCUAUCACUUCAUUUGAAACUGUAUACAAUCCUGCACGUUGACAAGAAAAAGGAAGAAGUCUGAGGAGAGGAUUCUCUCAUGUACAGCGCGCGAACAGAACAUCUGAAUGACUGAAAGUCUGAAACGUCAAAUACUCAAAGCACAAGCGAGAACAGAGUAAUCUACAGUAAGAAGCCAAUGCGAAAGUAUUAUUUCAACAAUAAGAGACGACGACCUGUAGCCUGAGUUGCAUUGCAGCCAGCCAGCCUCCAGGAGUGCUCAACUGCUGAUGCUGCCCUGCAUUUUCCCCCACUCCGGCCUCCAUCCACACAAAGGCAAGUCGCUGCAGCCUGCAGCUGCAGAGGUGUGCACUGGAGAAGAA